RNAcentral lists this ribosomal RNA (404 nucleotides) under uncultured bacterium. Its description in RNAcentral is "bacterial SSU rRNA". It matches the Rfam family "Bacterial small subunit ribosomal RNA", at positions 355 to 776 of the family's 1533-position model. The record is from RNAcentral.
UGGGGAAUAUUGGACAAUGGGCGAAAGCCUGAUCCAGCCAUACCGCGUGAGUGAUGAAGGCCCUAGGGUUGUAAAGCUCUUUUAGUGGGGAAGAUAAUGACGGUACCCACAGAAAAAGUCCCGGCUAACUCCGUGCCAGCAGCCGCGGUAAUACGGAGGGGGCUAGCGUUGUUCGGAAUUAUUGGGCGUAAAGGGUGCGUAGGCGGCUUUGUAAGUCAAAUGUGAAAGCCUUAGGCUUAACCUAAGAACUGCAUUUGAUACUGCAAAGCUUGAACAUGAGAGAGGGCGAUGGAAUUCUUGGUGUAGGGGUGAAAUCCGUAGAUAUCAAGAGGAACGUCAGGGGCGAAAGCGAUCGCCUGGAUCAUGGUUGACGCUGAGGCACGAAAGCGUGGGGAGCAAACAGG